Molecule: ribosomal RNA, 587 nt
Filed under: uncultured bacterium
Lineage: Bacteria
Description: bacterial SSU rRNA
Rfam family: Bacterial small subunit ribosomal RNA
Source: RNAcentral
CCUACGGGAGGCAGUAGUGGGGAAUAUUGGACAAUGGGGGAAACCCUGAUCCAGCAAUGCCGCGUGAGUGAUGAAGGCCUUAGGGUCGUAAAGCUCUUUUACCAGGGAUGAUAAUGACAGUACCUGGAGAAUAAGCUCCGGCUAACUCCGUGCCAGCAGCCGCGGUAAUACGGAGGGAGCUAGCGUUGUUCGGAAUUACUGGGCGUAAAGCGUGCGUAGGCGGUUAUUCAAGUCAGAGGUGAAAGCCCGGGGCUCAAACCCCGGAACGGCCUUUGAAACUAGAUAACUAGAAUCUUGGAGAGGUCAGUGGAAUUCCGAGUGUAGAGGUGAAAUUCGUAGAUAUUCGGAAGAACACCAGUGGCGAAGGCGACUGACUGGACAAGUAUUGACGCUGAGUACGAAAGCGUGGGAGCAAACAGGAUUAGAUACCCUGGUAGUCCACGCCGUAAACGAUGAUAACUAGCUGUCCGGACACUUGGUGUUUGGGUGGCGCAGCUAACGCAUUAAGUUAUCCGCCUGGGGAGUACGGUCGCAAGAUUAAAACCUUAAAGGAAAUUGACGGCNGAGANANCAGAGACACAGGAGAG